ACACGACCGUACCGCAAACCGACACUGGUGCGCGAGAUGAGUAUUCUAAGGCGCUUGAGAGAACUCAGGAGAAGGAACUCGGCAAAUUGACACCGUAACUUCGGAAGAAGGUGUGCCUUUAGUAGGUGAACCUGUACAAGGGGAGCCCAAUGAGGUUGCAAAAAAUCGGUGGCUGCGACUGUUUAAUAAAAACACAGCACUCUGCAAACACGAAAGUGGACGUAUAGGGUGUGACGCCUGCCCGGUGCUGGAAGAUUAAAUGAUGGGGUGCAAGCUCUUGAUUGAAGUCCCAGUAAACGGCGGCCGUAACAAUAACGGUCCUAAGGUAGCGAAAUUCCUUGUCGGGUAAGUUCCGACCUGCACGAAUGGCGUAACGAUGGCCACACUGUCUCCUCCUGAGACUCAGCGAAGUUGAAAUGUUUGUGAUGAUGCAAUCUCCCCGCGGAAAGACGGAAAGACCCCAUGAACCUUUACUGUAGCUUUGUAUUGGACUUUGAACAGAUCUGUGUAGGAUAGGUGGGAGGCUUUGAAGUGUGGUCGCUAGAUCGCAUGGAGCCAACGUUGAAAUACCACCCUGGUGUGUUUGAGGUUCUAACCUAGGCCCGUAAUCCGGGUCGGGGACAGUGCAUGGUAGGCAGUUUGACUGGGGCGGUCUCCUCCCAAAGCGUAACGGAGGAGUUCGAAGGUACGCUAGGUACGGUCGGACAUCGUGCUAAUAGUGCAAUGGCAUAAGCGUGCUUAACUGCGAGACUGACAAGUCGAGCAGAUGCGAAAGCAGGACAUAGUGAUCCGGUGGUUCUGUAUGGAAGGGCCAUCGCUCAACGGAUAAAAGGUACUCUGGGGAUAACAGGCUGAUACCGCCCAAGAGUUCAUAUCGACGGCGGUGUUUGGCACCUCGAUGUCGGCUCAUCUCAUCCUGGGGCUGUAGCCGGUCCCAAGGGUAUGGCUGUUCGCCAUUUAAAGAGGUACGUGAGCUGGGUUUAAAACGUCGUGAGACAGUUUGGUCCCUAUCUUCCGUGGGCGCUGCAGAUUUGAGGAAGCCUGCUCCUAGUACGAGAGGACCGGAGUGGACACACCUCUGGUGUAUCGGUUGUCACGCCAGUGGCAUUGCCGAGUAGCUAUGUGUGGAAGAGAUAACCGCUGAAAGCAUCUAAGCGGGAAACUCGUUUCAAGAUGAGAUCUGCCGGGGCCUUGAGCCCCCUAAAGAGUCGUUCAAGACCAGGACGUUGAUAGGUCGGGUGUGGAAGCGCAGUAAUGCGUUAAGCUAACCGAUACUAAUUGCUCGUGCGGCUUGACCUA
RNAcentral lists this ribosomal RNA (1299 nucleotides) under metagenome. RNAcentral's name for it is "bacterial LSU rRNA". It matches the Rfam family "Bacterial large subunit ribosomal RNA", at positions 1636 to 2925 of the family's 2925-position model. The record is from RNAcentral.